Molecule: non-coding RNA, 148 nt
Filed under: Nomascus leucogenys (northern white-cheeked gibbon)
Lineage: Eukaryota; Metazoa; Chordata; Mammalia; Primates; Hylobatidae
Source: Rfam by way of RNAcentral
GCCAGGUGUGGUGGUGCAUGCCUGUAGUCCCAGCUACUUAGGAGGCUGAGGCAUGAGAAUUGCUUGAGCCCGGGAGGCAGAGGUUGCAGUGAGCCAAGACUGUGCCACUGCACUGCAGCCUGGGCGAUAGAGUGAGACCCUGUCUCAU